AAGUCGUAACAAGGUUUCCGUAGGUGAACCUGCGGAAGGAUCAUUAAUACGCUUUUGUUUGUAACAAAACAAAACGUUUUAAACUCCAAAAGAAAUAGUGGAAAUAUAACUUCCGGAUGCGAAUUGUUGGGAACUGAGUAAAAUCGGUUCUUUGAAAAAAGGGACUUCAAGCAAUUGACACUUCAGAGUAGAGCAGUGAGGUGAAAUUCUCUUUAAUGAGAGUUUGGUUCUGAAAACAUUUGUAUCCGGUUAUCAUAAUCUGUUCUACAACCUCCAAAAUAUCAAACAAUAAACCCCAUGUACAACAACUUGAACUAAACAUUUUUUUGUCGUCCGCUUACACACUUGUUGUGUGAGAAGAUACUGCAAAGAAAAAACCUGAACUUAAGAACAACUCUUAACAACGGAUAUCUUGGUUCUC
Molecule: unclassified non-coding RNA, 421 nt
Filed under: fungal sp.
Lineage: Eukaryota; Fungi
Also listed under: 1 other name
Description: partial internal transcribed spacer region
Rfam family: Eukaryotic small subunit ribosomal RNA (bases 1-46)
Source: RNAcentral